This 90-nucleotide transfer RNA is filed under the name Caudoviricetes sp. Its description in RNAcentral is "tRNA-Ser". It matches the Rfam family "tRNA". From Rfam's summary of the family: Transfer RNA (tRNA) molecules are approximately 80 nucleotides in length. The record is from RNAcentral. Lineage: Duplodnaviria; Heunggongvirae; Uroviricota; Caudoviricetes.
GGAGAGAUGUCAGAGUCUGGUUUAUCGUGUCUGCCUUGAAAGCAGAUGUGUGUUAAUAGCACACCGUGGGUUCAAAUCCUACUCUCUCCG